GGAUCAGAAUUUGUCAACAAGUACUGUAUCAUUGGUAAAGAUGAAUCAAGUAGUCAUGCGUGCGAGAAAUGUACAGAUGGAAGCAUUCUUCCAUCAUUUUGUUUCUGUGACUUGAAAGUUCACUGUGUCAAAGAUAAAGAAUUAUUGGGAAGUCGAGCAGCCGAUGACUCUAAAAAAAAAUGUAAUUGGUGUUAAACUAUUUUCCACAAUCAAUUUAAAGACCGAGGCAAUGCGAGUUGCUCUAUUACCUUUCAAGCUCUGGUGAAUAGUACCUGUAAAGAAGGUUAUGUAGGGUUCAUGUGUAGUGUCAUAACAACACGUGUAUGCACCUUAGAAGUUGGACAGCAUAACUUACUGGAAUGCAACACGUCAAAUUUAGAGGAAUCUUUCCUGAAAUUGACACUACCUGGAAAAUAUUAUCUCUGCCAACCUUUGACGGAUUCCAAUAUCAAAGAAAGAAGUCACAUGGAAGCUUGUACCCUGAAUGCUACACCAUGACAGAAGAAAGGUAGAAAAUUAAACUGAGUUAGGCUUCAUCUAAGAAGAAACUGAUCAAUUGCAAGGAGAAACAAUUUUGUGCUCUUGAUUAACCAUCGUCUAGUCGAUGGAUGAUAUCGUCCCUGAAUGUGUGUACCGCAGACAGAGAUACAAUGAUUUAUUGAAGAGUGAGAACCAGAAGAAUAGCCAUUCACCUAUAGUAAUACAUUAGUUUUUUGAUAAACUUCCCAAAAAAACGUGUAUGGUGUAAUGGUGUAUGGCAUAUGGUGCAAUGGUAGAAGGUGUAUGUUGCUAUGGUGUAUGGUGUAAGCUGAGUGGUGUAAUGGUGUAACGUGCGAUCUGGAAUGGUAUGAAUGAAUGGUUUACGACAUUUAAAACUAUGCAAAAUAUUGAUAAGAACUGAUAUUUAAUUUUAUACAUUAAUUUACAAUAUUGUGAUCAAAAUUCGUUUUUUAAAAUAAAAAAAUAAUUUUGUAGUCGCACGCUUUCUUUGAAAUUAAAUUGCAUUAUGGUGUAAUGUGUAAGGUGUAUGGUGCAAAGGUUUAACGUGUAUGGUGUAAUGGCACAGGGUGUGUGGUGCAAUAGUGUAUGGUGUUAGUGGGAAGUUUACACCAUUCAAGGACUGUAUUUGGCAUCUUUUUUAAAUAUAUAUAUAUAAUUUUCAGACCUGAGUUUAAAGUAUACUCGGUAAUGUUAAACAUUCCAUUUAGAUACGAGUGUGGUCCGUUUGUGUUUGACAUCAAGUCAAUGUAUAACUUGUCAUUGGCCAAUAGCUUCAGAUAUAUUUACACCAAUAAUACUAAUUUAUCGGUACAGUUCCGAUAUGACAAGUGUUUCACAUAUGUGCCUUUACACAUUAUAAAAGCAGCAUGUCCUCGUCGAAUCUAUGCAUUUAUUAUAACAUUGUUACAUAACAUCAAAGACUGUCAACAGAGAUAUUAGAAAUACAUUUUGUUUAAGAUCAGGGAUUUGAAAAAAAUAACAUUUUUAGUACCCAGUUAGGCACACAGUAAAAUUAAAGUUAAAUCCUCCAUUAGAUACAACUGCUGAUGGUAGCCUUAAGGGUCAUUAGUACCCAGUUAGGCACACAGUGAAAUUAAAGUUAACUCCUCCAUUAGAUACAACUGCUUAAUAAUAUAUAAUGCUCAGACUUAGAUGUGGUAUGAUUCCCAAUACCAAAUGACGUCAAAAUAAACAACCGCAUGUCAUUAACGACCUUCAACAAUGAGCAAAUCCUAUACCACAAAACAAGAAAUAAUAGUGAUAUAACUACAUCUAUCUUUCAUAAUAUUAAAUAAUAGCAUUUGUGUGUGUAUAUAAGUUUUUAUAUAUAUCAACGCCUUAGUGUGUUGAUGCUUCUAUUGUAAAUGAUAAAAUAUUGAAUAAAAAACAUAUGAUGAUG
Long non-coding RNA from Mytilus californianus (California mussel), 1900 nucleotides. RefSeq lists it as uncharacterized. The record is from RefSeq and is a predicted model, not a curated record. The transcript has 5 exons. NCBI's taxonomy places the organism in Eukaryota, Metazoa, Mollusca, Bivalvia, Mytilida, Mytilidae.